This 7247-nucleotide long non-coding RNA is filed under the name Olea europaea (common olive). RNAcentral's name for it is "long non-coding RNA (OEUR_LNC002020)". Lineage: Eukaryota; Viridiplantae; Streptophyta; Magnoliopsida; Lamiales; Oleaceae. The record is from RNAcentral.
UUGCUCCGUACAGCAAUUUUUUGUUCCUGCACUCAACAAAACCGACAAUUCCACUGCCGCCAGGAACAACCACACCAUUUUCUUUGACAUCAAGCUUGAUAAUGGGAUGAAAGACAAAGGCGUACACUAUGAUCCCAUAAAUUUCACCUUUUUUUAUGAUCAAAAUUAUAGCUUUCCUAUAGCCACCUACACAGUGCCAGGGUUCUACCAGGGUCACGGUAAGCACACCAGCCGGAAAGCGCUGGUGGAGGCUAACGGAGUGCCAUGGGUGGCAGCUUUUGAGGCUGUUUCAAAUGGGUCCCCGGUGUCUUUUCGAGCGGGAUUGGCUACUAGAGUGAAGUUCAAGAUCUUGUCUUUUUAUACAAAGAAACACAAUCUGAUUGUGAAGGGGGAAAUACCGGUGGACGACUCCGGUAAGAAAAAGAAUAAGAAGGGUAUUAAACUCAAGUCCAACGCACCCCAUCAGAGGAGCCAUAGGCUGAGACUGGAAUUUGGGGUGGUUAUUUUCACUUUCUUCUUAAUCUUUUUGCUAUAAAUCUUAUAUUUUGUUUGGUUAAUUCAUGGCUAGAAUCUUCUAUGAUUUGAGGUUCUUUGAAAUAGUUGUGUCUUUGUUAGAUAUAAUUGCAUAUCCAUCUGUAACAACUUAUCCAACCAGUGAAUUUUCAGAUAUCCACAACCCCAUCUUUAACAAUUUCCAGGUUGCAUUUAGUUCUUGAACUUAUUAUGUAACCACUCAUCUCUGCUUCUGUAGUUCUUGUCGCAUCAAUUUCGUCUCCCUCUAACUUGGUUGUUGUUCUAUUGUGUCUCUGUAUUUCUUACUCUUAACUUUAAUCGAAGGUUAGACAAUUUAUGAAUUGGUUGUAGUAUUGUAAAAAGAAGUUCACAUAUUCCUCAUGAAUUCCUUUCAAUUCAAGCCAUACUCCUUCCUUUCCCGUUUCAAUUCAUUACCAUCAUCCACAGGGAAACAGCCUUUUCGACAUGCUUGAUUGUUGCGAAUGGCUGUGGUUGUAUUAACUGCUGCUACACUAAUCUGCUGCUUAUUUUAUGCUGUCCUAAUUGCUUUAUUGUGAGUCUACAAAUUCUUUUUUUGGUAUUGGUACUGCUACUUCAGUUUCAUGAAUUUUACUAUUUUAAUUUAGUUAUGGAAGGGCAUAUACAUUUUUGCUUUACAGUUGGCUUGACAUGUAGUAUAAUAGUUCUGUGUUUUCUAGAAGCGUACACUUUCGAAAUGAAUGCCCAUAUAUAGUAAUCCUUUUGUGUGGAGGUUACCUUUCUGCCUAUAUCCAAGAAAAAGAUGAGCUAUCAAUUUGGAUUGUAGAAGAAUGGGAAAAUGGAAUAAUAAGCGCAUUCUAUGAUAAAAAUUGGGGUAGUUUUUGCUUAGUUUAAUACUGUUUAUAUAAUGGAUUUCAUAAGUAUAUCUUGAUAUGGAUGAAAUUUUAGUAUCCAAAUUUGAUUUCAGGUUUGGGAAUCCGACAGUAGAUUGUUCUACUGUAAAUAGAUGACAUCUUACAUGCUUGAAGGGCGAUAUGCAUAGCAAGCCAGCUUAAGAAAAUCUCCAAACUAGAAUUGCUAGUGUAAAGAGUACUGAUUUCCUCUACAUUACAAGAACUCAGGUGACAUUAAGUACAGGAUACACGUAUCUGAGAAAUCAACUAGUUUAGAUCCAGCUGCUUCAUUUUACUGGUAAGGAGAGUUCCCACCUUGUAGUUUAACAAGCAAAUAAUGAGCGCUGGCCAUUUCCCACGGAGAGUAUAUCAGAGUGUGAACCUUGUUUGACAACUUUUCCGUCCUUGGUCACAGGAACGGAAUUAGAUUUCUGUAUUGCAGACAAUUGAUGUGCCCCAACAACGCAUGUUCGACCACCCAUCAUCUUCUCUAGUGCUUCUUGAACCAUGCUUUCUGAUACACUAUCUAGAGCACUGGUUGCUUCAUCCAGCAGUAGGAUUGUAGGGUCCCUCAAUAUUGCACGAGCCAAAGCUACUCUUUCUUUCUGGCCUCCAGAUAGCUGAACUCCUCUUAUCAUCAAUAAACAUUAUCCCUUAAUUGGAUCGUAAAAUCUUUUAAUGAGUCCAAUAAUUGUCGAUUUCCCUCAACACUCUGGCCAACUAAUUCAAUAGUGGCUCUUGAUCUAAUUUUGAGGUUGAGCCCUUUAGUAUCAACUGGUCAGCUCUUGAUGGAUAAGCAAAGAACACAUUUCUUAGCUCCACACGGCCCCGACAUCAUUCUUCAUUGCAUCAAUUUGCCAUAAGUUCUCUGGAUCAAUCUCACUCUUUCUGUCAAGUAUUGCAAAAACUGAACGAACAGCAUUACUUCCUCUUGACAAAUCUUUUGUCAGGCUUCCUGCUUCUGCAAUAGUAUAUGCAGUGAUUAGAAGUGCUAGAAAGUCUUGGAAAAGUCGCUCCGGAGAUAUUAAACUUUGUGAUAAUAACUUCCGUCCGUACCUGUAAGCUAAUGCUGUAAAAGCUGGCCAACUGCCCCAUCUGAGUUUACAAAUUUUUUAUCGCUGCAUUUUGAUUUUGAAGUGGAGCUUCGGCUUUCUUCAUGAAUUUUCCUAUCAUAUCUUCCAAUUGAGGCCUCUUCUCUUGUUGUUGAAAUUGUCACUGUGACCUAUUUUGAUUCUGAUUGCUCCAAGAGAAGUUGGGAUGCUUCAUCCAACUGUGAUUGAAAGCUUCUCCAUAUUGAUUGUGUUGUUGGCAUUAUCCCCACUAUGCAUAGUCUGCUUGCUCAAUUCCUUGCAUGAGUAUUGGGCAUUCCGAUGUUUUAUGUUCAGCUCCACAUUACUCACAAUUGCUCUUCUUAGCUUGUGCUGCUUGUGAUAUGUUUUUCACCUUGUGAUACAGAGAUUCGAUUUUUGCAAAUAUUGCUGAAUAAGUAUCUACCUCGUAGACACCCGGAGUUUUCCUUGGAAUCGCCCUCUCAGAAGACCACAUGGCUGAUGUGGUAGCCAUUCUCUUAAAUAAUUCCAAUGCCCCAUCAACUGUUCGUGUGGAUAUUGAGCCAUCUGACGCUAAAUCCACCAUGCUCUUGUGGUAUGGAAGUAACCCUGUGUAGAAGAAUCGGAUUUGGGUCUUUUUAUCAAACCCAUGUUGAGGACACUUCCGGAGCAUGUUUUUGAAUAUGUUCCAAGUUUCGUCAAAUGAUUCGGUUUCUCCUUGACUGAAUACUGAUAUGUCAUGUCUUAGCUUCACUAUCUUGGCUGGGGAGAAAAAUUUUGUGCAGAAUUUGUGUACCAACUCGUUCCAUGUAGUGAUACUUGCAACCGGAAGUGAAUCCAACCAUUCAAGUGCUCUGUCUCGCAGCGUAUGUGGAAACGGCCUUAGCCUAAUAGCUUCGUCGGAAAUUUCUUGGUAUCUGAAAUGUUGACACAUAUCCAAAAAUCGAGAUAUGUGUGUAUGUGGAUUCUCUUCGGCUUUGCCAUAAAACUGGUGUCCAUUUUGAAAUAGCUGUAUCACAUUGGUCUUCAACUGAAAAUUUGGCUGCCCAAACGGUGGAUACGCUAUGCUGGAUUGACUUUGAAUUACUUGAGUCAAGAAAUCUCCAAGAAUCUCAUUUCAUUCAUCCAUUGCCUCUCCUUCAUUAGCUUGAAUAAUGGGAUUGUUUAGUUCGUUAACCAUUUGUACUUGUGCUUCUCGGUGAUCUCUUUUUAGUCGAUGAAAUGUGCGCUCGAUUUCAAGAUCAGCUGGAGUCAAUUCUCCUCCAGUCGAUCGUGGCAUGCAAAUCUGAGAAACAAAAUCAGUACGAGCAUUGAGAUUCAAACAAUUUUAAUAACUAAAACAAAAAUAAAGGAUGAUAACCUAAAAUAAAAAAAAAUUAUACUAACAAAAUAAAAAUUGAAGUUCAAAUUAGUGUCUCGAGAAAUAAAAUAAAAUUAAAUUCAAUCCCCGGCAACGGCGCCAAAAAUUUGUUCACGAAAUUAUUUCUUUCGAUUUAAAACUACCGCAAGUGUAAGGGAACAUUAACAAGUAAUAAAGUGGAUUAAAUGAGUCCGAAUAUCGUCCCACAGAGAUUGAUUAGUUCAAUUUUAUCUAUCGUCGCCUUGACCGAAACAAUAGAAAUUCUUGAUAUUUUUGAUAACUAAAUUAUGAUUUAAUAACCCACUUAUAAAUAUAAAGCUUAAAUUAACUAAAUUAAAUGCAUGAUUAUAACUAAAUGCAAGUUUUUUAAAAAUAUGAUAACGAAAUGCAUACUAGGAUCCUGAAUCACCUUAUAUCAAUCCCCUUUAAUUCGAAUUUUAUAAAAUUGACAACACGAUUCAAUUAUGAAGACCAAUAUUCCUAAUUUAUUUAACAAUCUCUCUCGAAUAGAAUUAAACAUAUUUUCACAUGCGAUCCGAUUAUAUUUCUAUGAUGGAUGGGAGCAUAUAAAAAUGCAUUAAAGAUUUAUGAAUACUUAAAGAUUACGUAAAGUAUAACGGUAUAUUUAUAUCCCCUAUCGAACUUUACGACAAUUAACAUAAUGUCUAACUUAUUUUCCAUCUCUCGAGGGUAAAACAAGCCACAAAUCUCAUACAACUAUUGCGCACAUAAUUGUAGAGAAAAUAGAAUCCAUGUCAAUCAUUCAAUAAUUAAAAAAAAAACAUGUUUUAACAUCAAAUAAAUAAAAUUCAAGAUUAAGGAUUCAUAAUAUAAGGUUCAUCGCAAAUCCUAGCACAUGAAAAUCUAGCCUAACAUGGUUAAAAUAAAAGAAUACAUCAGAUUUUGGAUAAAAGACAUCACCGGGUUAUCAAAUCUUGGGAAAUCUUGAAGCUCUUCGUCUAAAUCUUCGUUCUUGCGCUCAAAAUCCUCUCCAAGAAGUGUUCUUCUACCUCCAAUAUGUUCUGCCUCUUUCUGAACGUCUUUUGGUAUUUAUAUCGCGUGAAAAUUAGAUUAUCAAAAGAGUUUCGGUCGUAUAAAGAAACUGCAGAAUCGGCCCCCAGAAUAUACCUAUGCGACCACAUAGUACAUUUCUAUACUGUCGCAUAGAGUAAAAAAAUUUUGAGAAAAAAUUCUCAGGAGGCUUCUAUGGGACCGCAUAGAGUUUAUACUAUGUGACCGAAUAGUUAUGUGAUUCUUUUCACCGAACAGCUUUUAGUUUUUUGAUUAUAACUUUUUCUCCUGAUCUCCGAUUGAAGUGAUUCAAAGUUCAUUGGACAGAAAACUCAAAGAUCUACACUUUUGAUGAAAUAGACUUUCUACUAUGCCAAAAAUGGAUCUCAAGUAGAGGCUAAAAAUCACGAGCGUAACUUUUUCGCCUGAAAGUUGAUACUUGAUAAUACUCCUAUCAUAUUUCACCUCUUUGACUCCUUUCCUCAUCUGAUUGACCUCUAACACUCUUGAAUCUUCAUUCCAUUUCCCGUCUCACCUAUGGAUUAUUUGCAACUUGGUCCCCGAACUUUCCGUUUGAUUCAUUUUGAUCCUUUUGCUUGUUUCUUCUAUUUCCAUCAUCUCAUAAUAUCACCAAGUUGGUACUUAGCUCAUUCACUUCCUUGAUUUGUCCUUCGGACCAUCUUUUGGAUAAUUUCACUUUGGUCCCUGAGCUAUCACUUUGCUCCAUUUUAUUUCUUUUUCGGCUCUUUUCUCCUGAAUUCUAUUAUUUCCAUAGAAACACCUACAUUGCAUGAAUUCAACGAGAUUAAGUCACAAUUUAAACAUUUUGCUUGUAAUUAAGUCAUGUUUGUGAUCUAAAUAAGUGUGCAAAAACACACUUAUCACAACGCAACACUCGUAAGGUGAUUUUUACUUAACUGUUAAUUAUAUACUGACAUCUAUAUUCUGUAAAAAAAAAAAAAUGUCUGUCCAAGUCUUCGCAUGGUUUCAACGAAAUGAUCAACCAUUGUUUAAACUUUUAAUAACAAUAAUAAUUUACUGAAACUUAUUUUGUGAUAACUUCCUAUAAAUUUUGAAGGUAUUUGUGAUUUUAUUUAUUUUUUGACUUAUAAUACAACGAAUUUUUAAUAUAAUUUGAUAAAAGUUGAUGAAAUGUAUAGUUAAAAAAUUGUGAAAUUUUUAAAAUGUGUGGUUCAAAUUAAUUAUUGGGUGUGUUUGAGCCCCAUUAUUUGGCAUUAUAAUGAGAUGAAUAGUUUUUUUUUUUUGAAAAAUGAGUGGUUGAAAUUUUUUUGAUUUAUGUGUAAUAUUAUUUUAUUUAAGAUUGUGUAAUUAAAAAUAAGAGAAAAAAAAUUUAACUUAAUAUAAUGAGAAAUCAUGGAGCUCAAGCUGGGGCAUUAUCUUUGAUUUAGCCCCCAAAGAAGUGACGACAUGAUGCAUGGAAAGGUUAUUUUAUUUUUCUCUUUUUAACUUCCAGUCGACCAACGACCCAGUCAAUGCUUUAAUAAAAAAGGGCGGUUAAAAUUAGAAAAUGGCUAGAAAAUAAUGUACUUGUACUCAAUGAAAGGCUGAAUGGUAGGCCCCAAUGGACUGUAAUGGGUUGAAAUAUUCUAAAAAUGAUAAAGAACGAGCUCCAAAUAUGAAUUUAGAUUAAAAUUUUAAUUUUAAUACCUGUUGAACUUAAACUGAUAUUAAAAAUAGAAAAAAUUAUUAUUGUGCUAUACACACUAAUCUUGUAAGGUUUGUAGUUUAACCUCAAUUCUUUGUCGCGCUUUACACCUUUAUAGAUCUUACACGUAAUGGAUCCACGUAAAACACGGAAUUCAUUUGUCCACAUUAAAAAAUUGAAUUGAAAUAUAGAACAAGACUUUUAGUCAACUCGAUCAUGCCGUUGCAAAGCCAUCACUCCAAGAGAUUCCAUUCCUAUUUCCCUUGAAAUUUCUGCGCUAGAUCUUGUUUACUUCCACCACAUAUAUCGCUCCACCGCGAGUAGAUUUUCCAGAAUGGCGGAGAGCAGCGACGCCGGAGGAUGUGGUAAGUGUUGCUGCAGCUUCAUAUUCACUUCAGGCUUAACAGCUCUCUUCAUGUGGCUGAGUCUACGUACCUCAAAGCCCACUUGCUCCGUACAGCAAUUUUUGGUCCCUGCACUCAACAAAACCGACAAUUCCACCGCCGCCAGGAACAACCACACCAUUUUCUUUGAAAUCAAGCUUGAUAAUGGGAUGAAAGACAAAGGCGUACACUAUGAUCCCAUAAAUUUCACCUUUUUUUAUGAUCAAAAUUAUAGCUUUCCCAUAGCCACCUACACAGUGCCAGGGUUCUACCAGGGUCAAGGUAAGCACACCAGCCGGAAAGCGCUGGUGGAGGCUAACGGAGUGCCGUGGGUGGCAGCUUUUGAGGCUGUUUCAAAUGGGUCCCCGGUGUCUUUUAGAGCGGGAUUGGCUA